Sarcophilus harrisii (Tasmanian devil) is the source of this 1160-nucleotide long non-coding RNA. RefSeq lists it as uncharacterized. NCBI's taxonomy places the organism in Eukaryota, Metazoa, Chordata, Mammalia, Dasyuromorphia, Dasyuridae. The transcript is spliced from 5 exons. The record is from RefSeq and is a predicted model, not a curated record.
GAUUAAAAUGAGAGGAAAUGCGCUUAAAUCAAAACAGAAGAAAAUGUGGCAACAUGAAAGAAAGAACUUUUGACCAUCAAUACAAGGCUGAUACCUCUUGUGGGGAUUAGAGACUUCAUUCCAAGACUGCUAUGAGAUAUCCCUACAUUUGGGCACUGAAUGACAAGCCUGUAUCACCAGUACCAUGAACUGGAUCAGAGAAACAGAAGUUAACAAAAACCUUUCAUCUGAGCUCCACGCCACUCACAAAAAGGAUUCCCGGAGCUGCUGGGAUAGAUAACAACUGGCAGGGCUUACAAAAAUAGCUCCGAUAAGGCCACGUACAUGCAGAAAUUAUGACUCUUUAAUAUAACAGCCAUGUUCUACUCAAGUCUAUUCAAAACACUAGAGAAAAAGUCAUGUGGACCAGCAAAGGGAGGAAAGAUAAAAUUGGUAGAAGAAAAAGGUACCUUGAGAUUCUUCAGAUGGAAUUGCUAACAAUGGCAAGGCGGCAAGGCAAAAGCCAACAGGAUGAAUGGAGUCCCCAAACGCAGAACCUGGCACAUCCUACUAAUGCAAAUAAAACCAUGGCUUCGGGGCAAGCUUUGCUCUGCUCUCUGGACAAGAAGGAAAAUCAGGGCCAAAGAAGAGAAUAACCACGGAUGGUAAUGGAGCUGUCACAGAGAAGAGAGAAGUGGAAAUUCAUGGUUCUCUUGUGAGGCAAAGACAUCUGUGUUAUUGCACCCUAAGCCAAUAGUUUUUAAAACAAAGUCAUAAAACAAGCUACUGUAUAUAACAGGGAUGGAAAAUAUGUGGAGCUUUCCUCCGCCCUUUACAGGUCUCUGAGAAGAAAAAAGAAUGAGACCAAUGACUGGGAAUGAAAGAAGCAGGAGCUGCCAGCAGGAGGGUGCAUGGCUCCCACCUUCCAAAGGAACAGGGACUGCUUGUGCUAAAAGGAAUCAAAUAGCCAAACCCAUGUCAGAGGCAACAUCGAUGGUGAGGCAGCAGGAAGGGCACAGCCUGUUUCCCUAACCUCUGGCUAGAAAACCAGAGUGAUGAUAGGUGGUUCCCCUCCUUUGCCCUUCUAUUGUCCUGACUCCAUACUUCAGGUUCCUGUCUGGGGCCCUCUAGAUCCAAAUUCUGUACCAUUGUUGGGUGCUCAAUAAAUAUUUCUUUAUUAU